Long non-coding RNA from Scomber japonicus (chub mackerel), 382 nucleotides. RefSeq lists it as uncharacterized. NCBI's taxonomy places the organism in Eukaryota, Metazoa, Chordata, Actinopteri, Scombriformes, Scombridae. The transcript is spliced from 3 exons. The record is from RefSeq and is a predicted model, not a curated record.
UGGUGUCUCAUGUUCAACUGAUGCUUUUAUAUCUUUAUACAGCCAGCUGAAACAAGACAAUGUCAACAUUGAUUUGAUCAGGGAAAAAGCAACACUUCUUAAGAAGAAAGGAAAAUAUAUUGUGAAUGAAGAACGCCUGCUCCAGUUGUUCAGCAGCACGUGCCCGUCAUGUGGUGGUAAACUUCAGAUGGAGAAGUUCACCAAUGGGGUUCUCAUCAGCUUGAACCAACAGUGCCUUCAGUGUCAGUUCAGAAAUAAAUGGAAAAACCAGGUUAAUGCUGCUGUCCUAACAGCUAAAGAUCAACACCUGACAGGAGGCACAGAUGUUACUCCAGAGACACAACAGUCUCUUUCACAGGAAGUGUCGACAGAUGACCACCAC